RNAcentral lists this ribosomal RNA (378 nucleotides) under uncultured eukaryote. RNAcentral describes it as "partial 18S ribosomal RNA". It matches the Rfam family "Eukaryotic small subunit ribosomal RNA", at positions 592 to 975 of the family's 1831-position model. The record is from RNAcentral.
CAAUAGCGUAUAUUUAAGUUGUUGCAGUUAAAAAGCUCGUAGUUGGAUUUCGGAUGGGACUUGCCGGUCCGUCGUUUCGAUGUGCACUGGCCAGUCCUAUCUUGUUGUCGGGGACUAGCUCCUGGGCUUCACUGUCCGGGACUAGGAGCUGACGAGGUUACUUUGAGUAAAUUAGAGUGUUCAAAGCAAGCCUACGCUCUGAAUACAUUAGCAUGGAAUAACACGAUAGGACUCUGGCUUAUCUUGUUGGUCUGUGAGACCAGAGUAAUGAUUAAGAGGGACAGUCGGGGGCAUUCGUAUUUCAUUGUCAGAGGUGAAAUUCUUGAAUUUAUGAAAGACGAACUUCUGCGAAAGCAUUUGUCAAGGAUGUUUNCAUUA